UGGCGAGGUAACGGCUCACCAAGGCUAUGACGGGUAGCUGGUCUGAGAGGACGACCAGCCACACUGGGACUGAGACACGGCCCAGACUCCUACGGGAGGCAUCAGUGGGGAAUAUUGGGCAAUGGGCGAAAGCCUGACCCAGCGACGUCGCGUGGGCGAUGAAGGCCUUCGGGUUGUAAAGCCCUGUUGGGUGGAAAGAAGGGUCCAGAGACGAAUAAUCUUUGGACCUUGACGGUACCACCAGAGGAAGCACCGGCUAACUCCGUGCCAGCAGCCGCGGUAAUACGGAGGGUGCAAGCGUUGUUCGGAAUUACUGGGCGUAAAGGGCGCGUAGGUGGUUGUGUAAGUCGGAUGUGAAAUCCCCAGGCUCAACUUGGGAACCGCAUCUGAUACUGCAUGACUCGAGUACUGCAGAGGGAAACGGAAUUCCUGGUGUAGAGGUGAAAUUCGUAGAUAUCAGGAGGAACACCGGUGGCGAAGGCGGUUUCCUGGGCAGAUACUGACACUGAGGCGCGAAAGCGUGGGUAGCAAACAGGAUUAGAUACCCUGGUAGUCCACGCUGUAAACGGUGAGUGCUGGGUGUGGGAGGUGUAAUGCCUUCUGUGCCGAAGCUAACGCGUUAAGCAC
This 627-nucleotide ribosomal RNA is filed under the name uncultured bacterium. RNAcentral describes it as "bacterial SSU rRNA". It matches the Rfam family "Bacterial small subunit ribosomal RNA", at positions 250 to 867 of the family's 1533-position model. The record is from RNAcentral.